GAUGAACGCUGGCGGCGUGCCUAAUACAUGCAAGUCGAGCGAACGGACGAGAAGCUUGCUUCUCUGAUGUUAGCGGCGGACGGGUGAGUAACACGUGGAUAACCUACCUAUAAGACUGGGAUAACUUCGGGAAACCGGAGCUAAUACCGGAUAAUAUUUUGAACCGCAUGGUUCAAAAGUGAAAGACGGUCUUGCUGUCACUUAUAGAUGGAUCCGCGCUGCAUUAGCUAGUUGGUAAGGUAACGGCUUACCAAGGCAACGAUGCAUAGCCGACCUGAGAGGGUGGUAGGCCAAACGGGAAAUGGGACACGGACAAGAGCCCGACGGGAGGGAGAAGUGGGAAAUAUUCGACAAUGGGCGCAAGCCUGACGAAGCAAUGCCGCGUGAGUGAAGAAGGCCUUCGGGUGGUAAAGCUCUUUUGUGGGGGAAGAAAAGAUGUAGAAGAAUACGCACCUGUUUUGACGGUACCAAAAGAAAAAGCCCCGGCUAACUACGGG
This 497-nucleotide ribosomal RNA is filed under the name uncultured bacterium. Its description in RNAcentral is "partial 16S ribosomal RNA". It matches the Rfam family "Bacterial small subunit ribosomal RNA", at positions 28 to 507 of the family's 1533-position model. The record is from RNAcentral.